AUGCUUGAUUGAGAUGAUUUUUUUUAUUUUAGAAAUUAGAUAUCUUUUUGAGAUCUAGAAUUUUGAGUUUGCCUUUAAAGAAGCUAAAUCAAGCUAAAAAUUCUAUUGUUUAGAUUUCAAAAUAGAUCAGUCAAAUCAAAAUUUUUCUUUUCGAAAAAGACUUCAACUGAAGAUUAUCUUUUAAGCCGUGAAGAAUUAGAUAGAAUAAUACCAGACAAAAUUGAUAUAAAAGUAG
This 235-nucleotide long non-coding RNA is filed under the name Elaeis guineensis (African oil palm). RNAcentral describes it as "long non-coding RNA (EGUI_LNC028004)". Lineage: Eukaryota; Viridiplantae; Streptophyta; Magnoliopsida; Arecales; Arecaceae. The record is from RNAcentral.